RNAcentral lists this transfer RNA (67 nucleotides) under Tomicodon cryptus. RNAcentral describes it as "tRNA-Ser". The record is from RNAcentral. Lineage: Eukaryota; Metazoa; Chordata; Actinopteri; Blenniiformes; Gobiesocidae.
GGGGUGGUUUGAUAAUAACAAAGACUGCUAAUUUUUGUAACCUCGGUUUAAUUCCGGGGCCAGCCUA